RNAcentral lists this ribosomal RNA (857 nucleotides) under Poriella subacida. RNAcentral's name for it is "partial large subunit ribosomal RNA". It matches the Rfam family "Eukaryotic large subunit ribosomal RNA", at positions 94 to 937 of the family's 3401-position model. Lineage: Eukaryota; Fungi; Basidiomycota; Agaricomycetes; Polyporales; Polyporaceae. The record is from RNAcentral.
UGAAGCGGGAAAAGCUCAAAUUUAAAAUCUGGCGGUCUUUGGCCGUCCGAGUUGUAGUCUGGAGAAGUGCUUUCCGCGCUGGACCGUGUAUAAGUCUCCUGGAACGGAGCGUCAUAGAGGGUGAGAAUCCCGUCUUUGACACGGACUACCAGUGCUCUGUGAUGCGCUCUCAAAGAGUCGAGUUGUUUGGGAAUGCAGCUCAAAAUGGGUGGUGAAUUCCAUCUAAAGCUAAAUAUUGGCGAGAGACCGAUAGCGAACAAGUACCGUGAGGGAAAGAUGAAAAGCACUUUGGAAAGAGAGUUAAACAGUACGUGAAAUUGCUGAAAGGGAAACGCUUGAAGUCAGUCGCGUCAGCCGGAAAUCAGCCUUGCUUCCGCUUGGUGUACUUUCUGGUUGACGGGCCAGCAUCGAUUUUGACCGUUGGAAAAAGGCAGAGGGAAUGUGGCACCUUCGGGUGUGUUAUAGCCCUCUGUUGCAUACAACGGUUGGGAUCGAGGAACUCAGCACGCCUUCAUGGUCGGGGUUCGCCCACGUUCGUGCUUAGGAUGCUGGCGUAAUGGCUUUAAACGACCCGUCUUGAAACACGGACCAAGGAGUCUAACAUGCCUGCGAGUGUUUGGGUGGAAAACCCGAGCGCGUAAUGAAAGUGAAAGUCGGGACCUCUGUCAUGGAGGGCACCGACGCCCGGACCUGAAGUUCUCUGACGGAUCCGCGGUGGAGCAUGUAUGUUGGGACCCGAAAGAUGGUGAACUAUGCCUGAAUAGGGUGAAGCCAGAGGAAACUCUGGUGGAGGCUCGUAGCGAUUCUGACGUGCAAAUCGAUCGUCAAAUUUGGGUAUAGGGGCGAAAGACUAAUCG